GCCGGAGUAACUCAGUUGGUAGAGUAGCUGCUUCGUAAGCAGCAAGUCGGGAGUUCGAGCCUCCCCUCCGGCUCCA
RNAcentral lists this transfer RNA (76 nucleotides) under bacterium. Its description in RNAcentral is "tRNA-Thr". It matches the Rfam family "tRNA". From Rfam's summary of the family: Transfer RNA (tRNA) molecules are approximately 80 nucleotides in length. RNAcentral also lists the same sequence under 1 other name. The record is from RNAcentral.